CUGACCUUCGUCGGCGCUCGCCGAGAUGUUGCAACAGAUAACUCAGAGAUGGUGGGGGACCAUGAAACCUUACUGCUCUAGAGUUUACCAAGAAGUGUGGUUUGGCGUGGCAUGCACCAGCUACAUGUAUUACAAAAUUUCACAUGGCGGUAAAAAAGACAAGAAAAACAAAUCCUCUGAUCCUGGUCAUCAUUAAGUAGCUCUUCUUUGGGUAUGCAGUUGGUGACUCAUCCGUGUUAUAAAUGAAGGAAGCUACCACCAUAGGGAAUGUAAUUGGACUUCAUAAGCAUUGUACAGUUCCAAAACUGUACGUAAUCCAGCCGCUGUACUUAAAGAAUAAAUCUGUGAGCACGUAGUA
Molecule: long non-coding RNA, 358 nt
Organism: Gavialis gangeticus (Gharial)
Lineage: Eukaryota; Metazoa; Chordata; Crocodylia; Gavialidae
Exons: 4
Source: RefSeq, a predicted model, not a curated record